CUCGUAGGUGGCCAACUAAGUCAGACGUGAAAUCCCUCAGCUUAACUGGGGAACUGCGUCUGAUACUGGAUGGCUUGAGUUUGGGAGAGGGAUGCGGGAUUCCAGGUGUAGCGGUGAAAUGCGUAGAUAUCUGGAGGAACACCGGUGGCGAAGGCGGCAUCCUGGACCAAUACUGACACUGAGGAGCGAAAAGCCAGGGGAGCAAACG
This 208-nucleotide ribosomal RNA is filed under the name uncultured bacterium. RNAcentral's name for it is "partial 16S ribosomal RNA". It matches the Rfam family "Bacterial small subunit ribosomal RNA", at positions 568 to 774 of the family's 1533-position model. The record is from RNAcentral.